UGCUGCGUCUCGCGGGUGAGACGCGCGCCUCAUGAGCGCGCCGGAGCCGGUUCGACUCCGGUCGCAGCGCCCA
This 73-nucleotide transfer RNA is filed under the name Myxococcales bacterium. RNAcentral's name for it is "tRNA-Met". RNAcentral also lists the same sequence under 1 other name. Lineage: Bacteria; Pseudomonadati; Myxococcota; Myxococcia; Myxococcales. The record is from RNAcentral.